This 23-nucleotide ribosomal RNA is filed under the name Quercus falcata. RNAcentral describes it as "partial 18S ribosomal RNA". The record is from RNAcentral. Lineage: Eukaryota; Viridiplantae; Streptophyta; Magnoliopsida; Fagales; Fagaceae.
UGUGACCUGCGGAAGGAUCAUUG